This 241-nucleotide ribosomal RNA is filed under the name uncultured bacterium. RNAcentral's name for it is "partial 16S ribosomal RNA". It matches the Rfam family "Bacterial small subunit ribosomal RNA", at positions 15 to 235 of the family's 1533-position model. The record is from RNAcentral.
GAUCCUGGCUCAGGAUGAACGCUGGCAGCGUGCUUAACACAUGCAAGUCGAGCGAAGCACUUAGGAAAGAUUCUUCGGAUGAUUUCCUAUUUGACUGAGCGGCGGACGGGUGAGUAACGCGUGGGUAACCUGCCUCAUACAGGGGGAUAACAGUUAGAAAUGACUGCUAAUACCGCAUAAGACCACAGCACCGCAUGGUGCAGGGGUAAAAACGUACCGGUGGUAUGAGAUGGACCCGCCG